AUGGGUUUAGUGUAAUGUGUAGCACGACAGUCUCCAAAACUGUUAGUGAGGGUUCAAAUCCCUCAGUCCAUGCCA
Molecule: transfer RNA, 75 nt
Filed under: Clostridium botulinum
Lineage: Bacteria; Bacillati; Bacillota; Clostridia; Eubacteriales; Clostridiaceae
Description: tRNA-Trp
Rfam family: tRNA
About the family: Transfer RNA (tRNA) molecules are approximately 80 nucleotides in length. Their secondary structure includes four short double-helical elements and three loops (D, anti-codon, and T loops).
Source: RNAcentral